This 1272-nucleotide long non-coding RNA is filed under the name Homo sapiens (human). RNAcentral describes it as "HSALNT0152311". The record is from RNAcentral. Lineage: Eukaryota; Metazoa; Chordata; Mammalia; Primates; Hominidae.
CGCCCCGCCCCGCGCCGCCGCCCCCAACCCCUAGGCUGAGCCGGAGGGAGGGACCCAGAAGGGAGGGAGGCGGAAGGGAGGCCAAAAAGGAGGGGGCCACGUGAAAGAGGCCGGCCGACCGAGACCGAGGGAGACUGAGCGGAGCGCACGCCCUGGAAGGAGAGAGCCGGAGAGUUCGGGAGGCAAGACCCCCAGAGACGAGAGUCGGAGGGAUCAAACGACACAGAUGGGAAACUGAGGCCCAGCAAGAGGCAGCCCUGGUGCAGGGACUCCAGUGAGUAGGGCUGGUUUACUAUUGCUUCUUGUACAGAGCCAUAUCAAGCUCCUUUUUCCGGCUUCCUCCCUCACCUCCCCCAUCUUAGCAGGGCCCCUGCCCCUUCCUCACCCCCUGGCUUCUGCAUCUCCCUAAGGGCAUAGCCUAGUGGUGGUUUCUCCCCUGAGUAGGCCCAGCUAGCCUCUGUCCCAUCCCCUGUUAUUUGGGCCCUAACAGAAGCUACCCAAAUUUGAACCAUCUCUGCCCCAUGCUCAAGACCUGAGGGUCUCACAUCCUCAAAAUGGGUCCCCAGAUUCCAGAUCCAAGGAUUUGGGGAUCACACUGUUCAUCAGCUGUCACUAAACUUAUUUUACUAUGAGCCAUCCCCCUGGGGUAGCUUCUUGGUCAGCUUGUGGGGAAGGGGGUCAUUUUCAGGAUGGAGGCCUCAUCUCUAGAUUUUGGGGAGUCAAAAGAGUAGUGCAGCCCAGCCCUCACCCCAUUCCACAGGUGUGCACCCCCAGCUCCUUGGACUCUGGCCAGGACCAUUUCCUGCAGCCCCAGGCCAGCCCUGCAGCAUGAGCAGAGGGUGGCUUUGGGAAUGAGGCCCUGAGGGCUGGAAGGAGAAUGCCCAGCGCCUAGGGAACUUUGGGAGACCGCAGCUGGCUCCAGGGGCUGAGAGAGCCAGGGUCCUGCCCCCGGUCGCCCAAAACACCUCCCUUGUAGGUCUGUCCCUGAUCCCCCGGCUCUUGAUAGACACAGCCUCCCCGUCGCCCGACCCCAGGGCAAACCAGCAGAUAAACCCCUUUUAGGCGAAAAUUACACAAAAACGGCGGCGGCGGCGGGGCCUCCUCUGCUCAGGCACUGCCGCGUUGGCGGCCGAAAAAAGAGGGUCCCAGAGAAGGGGAACCCCCUCCCUGUCGAGGACACCGAGGCCCAGAGAGGGGAAGCCUCCUCCCCAGUGGGGUGCAGUCUGGGAUUGCAGUCCCCACCCCAGGGGCGCAGCUGCCAGCCCAACGCCU